AUACGUAGGGGGCGAGCGUUGUCCGGAAUGAUUGGGCGUAAAGGGCGCGUAGGCGGCCCGGUAAGUCUGGAGUGAAAGUCCUGCUUUUAAGGUGGGAAUUGCUUUGGAUACUGUCGGGCUUGAGUGCAGGAGAGGUAAGUGGAAUUCCCAGUGUAGCGGUGAAAUGCGUAGAGAUUGGGAGGAACACCAGUGGCGAAGGCGACUUACUGGACUGUAACUGACGCUGAGGCGCGAAAGUGUGGGGAGCAAACAGGAUUAGAUACCCUGGUAGUCCACACGGUAAACGAUGAAUGCUAGGUGUAGGGGGUAUCGACCCCUUCUGUGCCGCAGUUAACACAAUAAGCAUUCCGCCUGGGGAGUACGGCCGCAAGGUUGAAACUUAAAGGAAUUGACGGGG
RNAcentral lists this ribosomal RNA (397 nucleotides) under uncultured bacterium. Its description in RNAcentral is "partial 16S ribosomal RNA". It matches the Rfam family "Bacterial small subunit ribosomal RNA", at positions 523 to 918 of the family's 1533-position model. The record is from RNAcentral.